RNAcentral lists this ribosomal RNA (470 nucleotides) under uncultured Massilia sp. RNAcentral's name for it is "bacterial SSU rRNA". It matches the Rfam family "Bacterial small subunit ribosomal RNA", at positions 30 to 518 of the family's 1533-position model. The record is from RNAcentral. Lineage: Bacteria; Pseudomonadati; Pseudomonadota; Betaproteobacteria; Burkholderiales; Oxalobacteraceae.
AUUGAACGCUGGCGGAAUGCUUUACACAUGCAAGUCGAACGGCAGCACGGGGGCAACCCUGGUGGCGAGUGGCGAACGGGUGAGUAAUACAUCGGAACGUGCCCAGUCGUGGGGGAUAACGUAGCGAAAGCUACGCUAAUACCGCAUACGAACUCUGGUUGAAAGCAGGGGACCGCAAGGCCUUGUGCUCCUGGAGCGGCCGAUAUCUGAUUAGCUAGUUGGUGAGGUAAAGGCUCACCAAGGCGACGAUCAGUAGCUGGUCUGAGAGGACGACCAGCCACACUGGAACUGAGACACGGUCCAGACUCCUACGGGAGGCAGCAGUGGGGAAUUUUGGACAAUGGGCGCAAGCCUGAUCCAGCCAUGCCGCGUGAGUGAUGAAGGCCCUAGGGUUGUAAAGCUCUUUCACCGGUGAAGAUAAUGACGGUAACUGGAGAAGAAGCGCCGGCUAACUACGUGCCAGCCGCCGC